This 959-nucleotide ribosomal RNA is filed under the name Heliconius melpomene cythera. RNAcentral's name for it is "bacterial SSU rRNA". It matches the Rfam family "Microsporidia small subunit ribosomal RNA", at positions 1 to 1003 of the family's 1311-position model. The record is from RNAcentral. Lineage: Eukaryota; Metazoa; Arthropoda; Insecta; Lepidoptera; Nymphalidae.
CCAGGUUGAUUCUGCCUGACGUAGAUGCUAUUCCCUGAGAUUAACCCAUGCAUGUUAUUGAAGAUCUUUAUGAUCUGAAAGAUGGACGGCUCAGUAAUACUCACUUUAUUUGAUUUAUAUUGGAUAUAACUACGUUAAAGUGUAGAUAAAAAAUAUAAAGUAAGAGUGAGGCCUAUCAGCUAGUUGUUAAGGUAAUGGCUUAACAAGGCAUUGACGGGUAACGGUAUUAUUUUGUAAUAUUCCGGAGAAGGAGCCUGAGAGAUGGCUACUAAGUCUAAGGAUUGCAGCAGGGGCGAAACUUGACCUAUGGAAAUAUUCUGAGGCAGUUAUGGGAAGUAAUUAUAAUUUUUUCGAAUUCUAAAAAUAUUUGAAUUGAUUAAUUGGAGGGCAAAUCAAGUGCCAGCAGCCGCGGUAAUACUUGUUCCGAGAGUGUGUAUGAUGAUUGAUGCAGUUAAAAAGUCCGUAGUUUAUGAUUAAGAAACAAUAUGAGGUUUACUGUAUAGUUGGGAGAGAGAUGAAAUGUGACGACCCUGACUGGACGAACAGAAGCGAAAGCUGUAAACUUGUAUGUAUUUUUUGAACAAGGACGUAAGCUGGAGGAUCGAAGAUGAUUAGAUACCAUUGUAGUUCCAGCAGUAAACUAUGCCAACGAUGUGAUAUGUUUUAUUGUAUUACAUAAUAGAAAUUAGAGUUUUUUGGCUCUGGGGAUAGUAUGAUCGCAAGAUUGAAAAUUAAAGAAAUUGACGGAAGAAUACCACAAGGAGUGGAUUGUGCGGCUUAAUUUGACUCAACGCGGGGUAACUUACCAAUAUUUUAUUAUUUUGAGAAUCUUUUUUAGAUGAGAAUGAUAAUAGUGGUGCAUGGCCGUUUCCAAUGGAUGCUGUGAAGUUUUGAUUAAUUUCAACAAGACGUGAGACCCUUAUUUAUAUUAGACUGACAUUUAUAAUGUAGGAAGGAAA